RNAcentral lists this non-coding RNA (31 nucleotides) under Mus musculus (house mouse). The record is from RNAcentral. Lineage: Eukaryota; Metazoa; Chordata; Mammalia; Rodentia; Muridae.
UGGUCUGCACACUUUCAGAGUAACAAAAACU